Corythoichthys intestinalis (scribbled pipefish) is the source of this 638-nucleotide long non-coding RNA. RefSeq lists it as uncharacterized. The transcript has 3 exons. The record is from RefSeq and is a predicted model, not a curated record. NCBI's taxonomy places the organism in Eukaryota, Metazoa, Chordata, Actinopteri, Syngnathiformes, Syngnathidae.
UCCUGUAUUUGAAUCAUUUACUUCCUGUUUGAAGCCUUUUGCCAGAUGCAGCCUAAAAGGAUACCAACCUUAAUAUUCACUUUGAAAAUAAUGAUUAUUGGUUCUUGCUAAUUACAAUUAAAUUGAUUGCCUCAAAAAACAAUAAUACAGGACCUCGAUGGAAGCUACAGUGGACAAAAGGAGAAGAAAAGGAAAACUCCUGCCCAUUGUGGUGCGGCCAUUUUAUCAGCAAACAUCAACUGAGCACGUUUGUGAAACUGGAAGAAUACAAAUCGGCUAGCCACACCAAGCUAGCAAGAUGCCUCCAAGAGCCCAUCACCGAGCUUGAUCCAGGAAGAAGUCGCCACCCGAGUCUCCCUUUUUCUCUCUCCUACUUCAUCAUCUUCCUUCCUCCCCUCACACCCCCGCCGCCCCCCGACAAGAAAAUGAUGAAAAUCUUCCUUCUUCUCGUUGUACGAGAGCGCAUGCGCGGCAAAAGAGAGAGAGAGCGAGAAAUGAAAACAUUAGUAGUGUCCCACCUCAAAAAAAAAAAAAAAAUACAGGGAACACUUGAAAUCGAAUGUACUCCUACAUAAUAAUGAAAAAAGUGAAUAUCGAAGUGUUUAAGUGUUACAUUUAUUAAACUUAUCGGCAAUUAA